RNAcentral lists this ribosomal RNA (965 nucleotides) under uncultured marine bacterium. RNAcentral's name for it is "bacterial SSU rRNA". It matches the Rfam family "Bacterial small subunit ribosomal RNA", at positions 56 to 1066 of the family's 1533-position model. The record is from RNAcentral.
UGCAAGUCGAACGAACCUUCGGGUUAGUGGCGGACGGGUGAGUAACGCGUGAGAAUCUGCCCUCAGGAGGGGGAUAACAGCUGGAAACGGCUGCUAAUACCCCAUAUGCCGCGAGGUGAAAUGAAUUUCGCCUGAGGAUGAGCUCGCGUCUGAUUAGCUAGUUGGUGUAGGUAAUGGCUCACCAAGGCAUCGAUCAGUAGCUGGUCUGAGAGGAUGAUCAGCCACACUGGGACUGAGACACGGCCCAGACUCCUACGGGAGGCAGCAGUGGGGAAUUUUCCGCAAUGGGCGAAAGCCUGACGGAGCAACGCCGCGUGAGGGAUGAAGGCCUCUGGGCUGUAAACCUCUUUUAUCAAGGAAGAAGAUCUGACGGUACUUGAUGAAUAAGCCACGGCUAAUUCCGUGCCAGCAGCCGCGGUAAUACGGGAGUGGCAAGCGUUAUCCGGAAUUACUGGGCGUAAAGCGUCCGCAGGCGGCCCUUCAAGUCUGCUGUUAAAAAGUGGAGCUUAACUCCAUCAUGGCAGUGGAAACUGAGGGGCUUGAGUGUGGUAGGGGCAGAGGGAAUUCCUGGUGUAGCGGUGAAAUGCGUAGAUAUCGGGAAGAACACCAGUGGCGAAGGCGCUCUGCUGGGCCAUCACUGACGCUCAUGGACGAAAGCCAGGGGAGCGAAAGGGAUUAGAUACCCCUGUAGUCCUGGCCGUAAACGAUGAACACUAGGUGUCGGGGGAAUCGACCCCCUCGGUGUCGUAGCCAACGCGUUAAGUGUUCCGCCUGGGGAGUACGCACGCAAGUGUGAAACUCAAAGGAAUUGACGGGGGCCCGCACAAGCGGUGGAGUAUGUGGUUUAAUUCGAUGCAACGCGAAGAACCUUACCAGGGUUUGACAUCCUGCGAAUCUCUUGGAAACGAGAGAGUGCCUUCGGGAACGCAGUGACAGGUGGUGCAUGGCUGUCGUCAGCUCGUGUC